UCCUACGGGGCGCAGCAGUGAGGAAUAUUGGUCAAUGGUCGGGAGACUGAACCAGCCAAGCCGCGUGAGGGAUGAAGGUACAGAGUAUCGUAAACCUCUUUUGUCAGGGAACAAAGGCGGGGACGUGUCCCCGGAUGAGUGUACCUGAAGAAAAAGCAUCGGCUAACUCCGUGCCAGCAGCCGCGGUAAUACGGAGGAUGCGAGCGUUAUCCGGAUUUAUUGGGUUUAAAGGGUGCGUAGGCGGAAGGUUAAGUCAGCGGUCAAAUGUCGGUGCUCAACACCGGCCUGCCGUUGAAACUGGUCUU
RNAcentral lists this ribosomal RNA (305 nucleotides) under uncultured bacterium. RNAcentral's name for it is "bacterial SSU rRNA". It matches the Rfam family "Bacterial small subunit ribosomal RNA", at positions 337 to 640 of the family's 1533-position model. The record is from RNAcentral.